GGAGGUAUAGUUCAACGGAGAGCAUAUGCUUAGCAUGCACAAGGUCCUGGGUUCAAUCUCCAGUACCUCCA
RNAcentral lists this transfer RNA (71 nucleotides) under Camelus bactrianus (Bactrian camel). It matches the Rfam family "tRNA". Rfam says of the family: Transfer RNA (tRNA) molecules are approximately 80 nucleotides in length. Their secondary structure includes four short double-helical elements and three loops (D, anti-codon, and T loops). RNAcentral also lists the same sequence under 2 other names. The record is from Rfam by way of RNAcentral. Lineage: Eukaryota; Metazoa; Chordata; Mammalia; Artiodactyla; Camelidae.